AUGUUACAUUACCCCCCCUCCUUUCUAUUUUUUUUUAACACAAGUUUAAAUGAAUGUAAAACAACCUUUAAAUUAUAAAAAUAACUUUUAACAAUGGAUCUCUAGGCUCUCACAUCGAUGAAGAACACAGUGAAAUGUGAUAAGUAAUGUGAAUUGCAGAAUUCAGUGAAUCAUCGAAUCUUUGAACGCAUCUUGCGCCUUUUGGUAUUCCAAAAGGCACACCUGUUUGAGUGUCAUGAAACCCUCUCAUUCAACAAUUUUUUCCUUAUAAAAAGAUUGUUG
Molecule: ribosomal RNA, 282 nt
Filed under: Uromyces sp. 2014C
Lineage: Eukaryota; Fungi; Basidiomycota; Pucciniomycetes; Pucciniales; Pucciniaceae
Description: 5.8S ribosomal RNA
Rfam family: 5.8S ribosomal RNA (bases 83-236)
About the family: 5.8S ribosomal RNA (5.8S rRNA) is a component of the large subunit of the eukaryotic ribosome.
Source: RNAcentral